RNAcentral lists this ribosomal RNA (356 nucleotides) under uncultured bacterium. RNAcentral's name for it is "bacterial SSU rRNA". It matches the Rfam family "Bacterial small subunit ribosomal RNA", at positions 29 to 359 of the family's 1533-position model. The record is from RNAcentral.
AACGAACGCUGGCGGCGUGGAUAAGACAUGCAAGUCGAGGCGCUAAUUUAAGGGUAGCAAUAUUCUUAAGUUGGAGCGGCGCAAGGGUGCGUAACACGUGGGUAAUUUGCCGUGAAGUUGGGGAUAACUUGCUGAAAGGCGAGCUAAUACCGAAUGUGACGUUUGGAAGGCAUCUUCCGAAUUUCAAAGCUGGGGACCGCAAGGCCUGGCGCUUCACGAUAAGCCCGCGGCCUAUCAGCUAGUUGGUGAGGUAAUGGCUCACCAAGGCUAAGACGGGUAGCUGGGUCUGAGAGGACGACCAGCCACACUGGGAACUGAGACACGGGUCCAGACACCUAUGGGUGGCAGCAGUCGAG